UACGGGGGGGGCAAGCGUUGUUCGGAAUUACUGGGCGUAAAGGGCUCGUAGGCGGCCAACUAAGUCAGACGUGAAAUCCCUCGGCUUAACCGGGGAACUGCGUCCGAUACUGGAAGGCUUGAAUCCGGGAGAGGGAUGCGGAAUUCCAGGUGUAGCGGUGAAAUGCGUAGAUAUCAGGAGGAAUACCGGUGGCGAAGGCGGGUCUCUGGGCAGUAACUGACGCUGAGGAGCGAAAGCGUGGGAAGCGAACAGG
Molecule: ribosomal RNA, 253 nt
Filed under: uncultured bacterium
Lineage: Bacteria
Description: partial 16S ribosomal RNA
Rfam family: Bacterial small subunit ribosomal RNA
Source: RNAcentral